This 416-nucleotide ribosomal RNA is filed under the name uncultured Methylomirabilota bacterium. RNAcentral describes it as "bacterial SSU rRNA". It matches the Rfam family "Bacterial small subunit ribosomal RNA", at positions 1001 to 1414 of the family's 1533-position model. Lineage: Bacteria; Methylomirabilota (SeqCode). The record is from RNAcentral.
CCGAAAGGUAGGAGUGCCCGCAAGGGAGCGCGGAGACAGGUGGUGCAUGGCUGUCGUCAGCUCGUGUCGUGAGAUGUUGGGUUAAGUCCCGCAACGAGCGCAACCCUCACCCCUUGUUGCCAACAGGUAAAGCUGGGCACUCUAGGGGAACUGCCCCGGUCAACGGGGAGGAAGGCGGGGAUGACGUCAAGUCAUCAUGCCCCUUACGUCCUGGGCUACACACGUGCUACAAUGGCCGGUACAAAGGGAUGCCACACCGUGAGGUAGAGCUAAACCCAAAAAGCCGGUCUAAGUUCAGAUUGGAGUCUGCAACUCGACUCCAAGAAGGAGGAAUCGCUAGUAAUCGCGUAUCAGCACGACGCGGUGAAUACGUUCCCGGGCCUUGUACACACCGCCCGUCACACCACGAAAGCCAG